UCGGGAAUUUUGGGCAAUGGGCGAAAGCCUGAUGGAGCGACGUCGCGUGAUGGACGAAGUGCUUCGGCACGUAAACAUCUUUUAUGUGGGAUGAAAUUAUUGACAGUACCACAUGAAUAAGGGGCUCCUAACUCUGUGCCAGCAGGAGCGGUAAUACAGAGGCCCCAAGCGUUAUCCGGAAUCACUGGGCGUAAAGGGUGUCGAGGCGGUUGUAUUAGUCGUUCGUAAAAUCUACGAGCUUAACUUGUAGGCGGCGAACGAAACGGUACGACUUGAGGUUUGGAGAGGUGCGUGGAACUCACGGUGUAGGGGUGAAAUCCGUUGAUAUCGUGGGGAACACCAAAGGCGAAGGCAGCGCACUGGCCAAAAUCUGACGCUCACACACGAAAGCUAGGGUAGCGAAGAGGAUUAGAUACCCCAGUAGUCCCUGAGCGGGCUGGCAAGGCGCAU
RNAcentral lists this ribosomal RNA (450 nucleotides) under uncultured bacterium. Its description in RNAcentral is "bacterial SSU rRNA". It matches the Rfam family "Bacterial small subunit ribosomal RNA", at positions 355 to 825 of the family's 1533-position model. The record is from RNAcentral.